GCCUACCCGGGCCUCGCCGGACCCGGGCCGGGCAGCAGGGGCCGGCCCGCGCCCCCCACGCUGGCCCAGAGGGCUGCGGCCGCCUCGCCGCUGAGGAUGUCCCGGAAAGGGCCGCGAGCGGAGGUGUGUGCGGACUGCAGCGCCCCGGGAGCAGGUGAAGGGAUAGCUACACCUAGGACUCCCCGCGCCUGCUUCCCACGGCUGGAGCCCCUCGCAGGGCCUGCUGGUGCCAGGGAACAGCCAAACUCCGCUUUUCCUGCUCUCCAGUGAGGCCUGCUUGGGCAGGCGGGCCUGGCACCGUCCUACCUGGGCACAGACCUCUCCCGGUCCCCUGGCCCAGUCUGGGCAGGAUCAGGUAGGGAACAGUGGCAAGGGGUGCUUAGACUCCCUGGAUCAGGCUGACUUCCUAGCCUGCCUCCCAGGAGUAUUUUACCCUGGCACGUCCCUUCCCAGCAGUCAGGCUUGGCCGC
Molecule: long non-coding RNA, 470 nt
Filed under: Dasypus novemcinctus (nine-banded armadillo)
Lineage: Eukaryota; Metazoa; Chordata; Mammalia; Cingulata; Dasypodidae
Description: lncRNA (ENSDNOG00000052216.1)
Source: RNAcentral